AUGGCGGCGGCAGCCCUUGGACACGCGGCGUUGAGGAUCGGCGGCCGCGCUCUCCAGAGGGCCGCCCUGUCCCCGGCGGCGCAACGCCGGCUUGUCCACACCAGGGUGCCCACACACGAUGAGAAAAUAGACGUCGCGGCUCGCUUGAUGCGCAUCCAGGAUCUGAAAGAGGAGCUGUACAAUCAGAUCGCCGCGUGCAAAGACAAGUACAUGGUCAGUGGCAACAUAGGCCGAAACAAUACUCAUCUGCUCGAGCAUCUCUCGGAACAAAUCAAACCUAGACACGACGACCCACGCUGGCGCUCGUGUCGGCGAUGGGCGUUUGUCAACGAUGUCUACAAAUACUCUGGCGCCGUCUUCAUUGCCACCACGGCCGCAAAUCUCAUCUUCUAUUCCGUUCACAAGAUUUAUCCAAGAGAGGAGAAUAAUGACAAGAGGGUCCUCGAUGCAGGGCUCAAGAAUAGUGGCCCAGUUUAUGAGGGAAAUCAGACCGAAAAACCGCACACGCAGCGAACCCUUGCCGACCACACGACCCAAGGCAACAUUGCAACAAACACACACACCCGACUCCGGAGCCGCCACUCCGACGUCCCCCGCCCUCAUGCGAGCCACAACGCCGCAUGGCUCAGGCGCCUCGUAGCCCUUGCUACACGAGACGACCACCCGCAAACCACGAACGUUGUACCAAAAUCCGGGGCCACCGCCUCGACUUCCAGCCAGACCGACCCACAGAUCGCGUCGACCGGGCCGACGAACUGGCCACCCUCGCAGCACCAGGUCGCCGCCCAUGCCAAGCAAAGCAGCAGACCUACCCAAUAG
This 819-nucleotide ribosomal RNA is filed under the name Triticum aestivum (bread wheat). RNAcentral's name for it is "partial small subunit ribosomal RNA". Lineage: Eukaryota; Viridiplantae; Streptophyta; Magnoliopsida; Poales; Poaceae. The record is from RNAcentral.